UGGCGGACGGGUGAGUAAUGUCUGGGAAACUGCCCGAUGGAGGGGGAUAACUACUGGAAACGGUAGCUAAUACCGCAUAACGUCGCAAGACCAAAGAGGGGGACCUUCGGGCCUCUUGCCAUCGGAUGUGCCCAGAUGGGAUUAGCUAGUAGGUGGGGUAAGGCUCACCUAGGCGACGAUCCCUAGCUGGUCUGAGAGGAUGACCAGCCACACUGGAACUGAGACACGGUCCAG
RNAcentral lists this ribosomal RNA (234 nucleotides) under uncultured bacterium. RNAcentral's name for it is "partial 16S ribosomal RNA". It matches the Rfam family "Bacterial small subunit ribosomal RNA", at positions 96 to 334 of the family's 1533-position model. The record is from RNAcentral.